This 2905-nucleotide ribosomal RNA is filed under the name Escherichia coli. RNAcentral describes it as "23S ribosomal RNA". It matches the Rfam family "Bacterial large subunit ribosomal RNA". RNAcentral also lists the same sequence under 1 other name. Lineage: Bacteria; Pseudomonadati; Pseudomonadota; Gammaproteobacteria; Enterobacterales; Enterobacteriaceae. The record is from RNAcentral.
GGUUAAGCGACUAAGCGUACACGGUGGAUGCCCUGGCAGUCAGAGGCGAUGAAGGACGUGCUAAUCUGCGAUAAGCGUCGGUAAGGUGAUAUGAACCGUUAUAACCGGCGAUUUCCGAAUGGGGAAACCCAGUGUGUUUCGACACACUAUCAUUAACUGAAUCCAUAGGUUAAUGAGGCGAACCGGGGGAACUGAAACAUCUAAGUACCCCGAGGAAAAGAAAUCAACCGAGAUUCCCCCAGUAGCGGCGAGCGAACGGGGAGCAGCCCAGAGCCUGAAUCAGUGUGUGUGUUAGUGGAAGCGUCUGGAAAGGCGUGCGAUACAGGGUGACAGCCCCGUACACAAAAAUGCACAUGCUGUGAGCUCGAUGAGUAGGGCGGGACACGUGGUAUCCUGUCUGAAUAUGGGGGGACCAUCCUCCAAGGCUAAAUACUCCUGACUGACCGAUAGUGAACCAGUACCGUGAGGGAAAGGCGAAAAGAACCCCGGCGAGGGGAGUGAAAAAGAACCUGAAACCGUGUACGUACAAGCAGUGGGAGCACGCUUAGGCGUGUGACUGCGUACCUUUUGUAUAAUGGGUCAGCGACUUAUAUUCUGUAGCAAGGUUAACCGAAUAGGGGAGCCGAAGGGAAACCGAGUCUUAACUGGGCGUUAAGUUGCAGGAUAUAGACCCGAAACCCGGUGAUCUAGCCAUGGGCAGGUUGAAGGUUGGGUAACACUAACUGGAGGACCGAACCGACUAAUGUUGAAAAAUUAGCGGAUGACUUGUGGCUGGGGGUGAAAGGCCAAUCAAACCGGGAGAUAGCUGGUUCUCCCCGAAAGCUAUUUAGGUAGCGCCUCGUGAAUUCAUCUCCGGGGGUAGAGCACUGUUUCGGCAAGGGGGUCAUCCCGACUUACCAACCCGAUGCAAACUGCGAAUACCGGAGAAUGUUAUCACGGGAGACACACGGCGGGUGCUAACGUCCGUCGUGAAGAGGGAAACAACCCAGACCGCCAGCUAAGGUCCCAAAGUCAUGGUUAAGUGGGAAACGAUGUGGGAAGGCCCAGACAGCCAGGAUGUUGGCUUAGAAGCAGCCAUCAUUUAAAGAAAGCGUAAUAGCUCACUGGUCGAGUCGGCCUGCGCGGAAGAUGUAACGGGGCUAAACCAUGCACCGAAGCUGCGGCAGCGACACUAUGUGUUGUUGGGUAGGGGAGCGUUCUGUAAGCCUGUGAAGGUGUGCUGUGAGGCAUGCUGGAGGUAUCAGAAGUGCGAAUGCUGACAUAAGUAACGAUAAAGCGGGUGAAAAGCCCGCUCGCCGGAAGACCAAGGGUUCCUGUCCAACGUUAAUCGGGGCAGGGUGAGUCGACCCCUAAGGCGAGGCCGAAAGGCGUAGUCGAUGGGAAACAGGUUAAUAUUCCUGUACUUGGUGUUACUGCGAAGGGGGGACGGAGAAGGCUAUGUUGGCCGGGCGACGGUUGUCCCGGUUUAAGCGUGUAGGCUGGUUUUCCAGGCAAAUCCGGAAAAUCAAGGCUGAGGCGUGAUGACGAGGCACUACGGUGCUGAAGCAACAAAUGCCCUGCUUCCAGGAAAAGCCUCUAAGCAUCAGGUAACAUCAAAUCGUACCCCAAACCGACACAGGUGGUCAGGUAGAGAAUACCAAGGCGCUUGAGAGAACUCGGGUGAAGGAACUAGGCAAAAUGGUGCCGUAACUUCGGGAGAAGGCACGCUGAUAUGUAGGUGAAGCGACUUGCUCGUGGAGCUGAAAUCAGUCGAAGAUACCAGCUGGCUGCAACUGUUUAUUAAAAACACAGCACUGUGCAAACACGAAAGUGGACGUAUACGGUGUGACGCCUGCCCGGUGCCGGAAGGUUAAUUGAUGGGGUUAGCCGCAAGGCGAAGCUCUUGAUCGAAGCCCCGGUAAACGGCGGCCGUAACUAUAACGGUCCUAAGGUAGCGAAAUUCCUUGUCGGGUAAGUUCCGACCUGCACGAAUGGCGUAAUGAUGGCCAGGCUGUCUCCACCCGAGACUCAGUGAAAUUGAACUCGCUGUGAAGAUGCAGUGUACCCGCGGCAAGACGGAAAGACCCCGUGAACCUUUACUAUAGCUUGACACUGAACAUUGAGCCUUGAUGUGUAGGAUAGGUGGGAGGCUUUGAAGUGUGGACGCCAGUCUGCAUGGAGCCGACCUUGAAAUACCACCCUUUAAUGUUUGAUGUUCUAACGUUGACCCGUAAUCCGGGUUGCGGACAGUGUCUGGUGGGUAGUUUGACUGGGGCGGUCUCCUCCUAAAGAGUAACGGAGGAGCACGAAGGUUGGCUAAUCCUGGUCGGACAUCAGGAGGUUAGUGCAAUGGCAUAAGCCAGCUUGACUGCGAGCGUGACGGCGCGAGCAGGUGCGAAAGCAGGUCAUAGUGAUCCGGUGGUUCUGAAUGGAAGGGCCAUCGCUCAACGGAUAAAAGGUACUCCGGGGAUAACAGGCUGAUACCGCCCAAGAGUUCAUAUCGACGGCGGUGUUUGGCACCUCGAUGUCGGCUCAUCACAUCCUGGGGCUGAAGUAGGUCCCAAGGGUAUGGCUGUUCGCCAUUUAAAGUGGUACGCGAGCUGGGUUUAGAACGUCGUGAGACAGUUCGGUCCCUAUCUGCCGUGGGCGCUGGAGAACUGAGGGGGGCUGCUCCUAGUACGAGAGGACCGGAGUGGACGCAUCACUGGUGUUCGGGUUGUCAUGCCAAUGGCACUGCCCGGUAGCUAAAUGCGGAAGAGAUAAGUGCUGAAAGCAUCUAAGCACGAAACUUGCCCCGAGAUGAGUUCUCCCUGACUCCUUGAGAGUCCUGAAGGAACGUUGAAGACGACGACGUUGAUAGGCCGGGUGUGUAAGCGCAGCGAUGCGUUGAGCUAACCGGUACUAAUGAACCGUGAGGCUUAACCUU